This 170-nucleotide unclassified non-coding RNA is filed under the name uncultured Trichoderma. RNAcentral describes it as "sequence contains ITS2". Lineage: Eukaryota; Fungi; Ascomycota; Sordariomycetes; Hypocreales; Hypocreaceae. The record is from RNAcentral.
CAACCCUCGAACCCCUCCGGGGGGUCGGCGUUGGGGAUCGGCCCUCCCUUGGCGGGGGCCGUCUCCGAAAUGCAGCGGCGGUCUCGCCGCAGCCUCUCCUGCGCAGUAGUUUGCACACUCGCAUCGGGAGCGCGGCGCGUCCACAGCCGUUAAACACCCAACUUCUGAAA